Betta splendens (Siamese fighting fish) is the source of this 832-nucleotide long non-coding RNA. RefSeq lists it as uncharacterized. Lineage: Eukaryota; Metazoa; Chordata; Actinopteri; Anabantiformes; Osphronemidae. The transcript is spliced from 2 exons. The record is from RefSeq and is a predicted model, not a curated record.
UAAAUCCCGCUAAAUGGCGUCGAAAUUGCGCCAUCUGUUGAUGGUAGAAUAUACUUAAGUUCGUUGGUUCUAGACUGGACUGCAGCUACCAGAAUCCCCGUGGCCACUUGCUAGUGCUGAUGGGAUAUGUUUUUUUUAGGAGGAAGGCGCACGGUUGUGCAAGCGAACAAAAGGAGGAACGGCUGUCUAGUGCUGUUAUGGUUAUACAAAAACCUCAAGCAGCUCCGUGUGUUUUUUAAUAAAAGGAGAAGACGUGUAAAAACAGAAGAUUGCACCAGUUAUGAAUUUCUAAAUAUUUUACCUCUGCUAUUCGAUAAUGAUAUUCAAAUUAAUUUUUUAAAAUACUGAAGGGACUACUCGUUUGUAUAAGACAAAAGUUAGCAGCAUCAACUCUGCGUCUUCCAAGGAUGCUUCGCUCAUCUCCUCAGACUGCUCGUCAUCAUCUUUUUCUUCCUGUGCUGUCCUCUUUACACCCCUCUGCUUUGAAAGGGCUGCUGCAUAACGUAUGUUGUACAUGUUAAAGUCACACCUGUACAGGGAAAACGCAAGUGUGUGUAAGUGUUACUUACAUUUGAGUUUGAUUGUCAGGUUUUAGCUGGGGAACUUUUAAGCCGUUGUUGUAUGAAUUCCUUUUUUAUUUGUAUUUACUUUGGUAGUUAAUUGGGAAUGAUGAUACUUACAGUUUUGAAAGAUUGUCGGAAUGUCUCUGAAUGCUCUUCUGCAGUGCCUGCAGGGUAGACAGUAUAGCUCCCGACCUGUGCCCCAAGUGAAUUGUGUAGACUUUCAGAAUUUUACAAACAUUUAUUAAAUGCAGUAAACUGUGAGAGAGAGA